Non-coding RNA from Contarinia nasturtii (swede midge), 72 nucleotides. The record is from the annotation of a RefSeq genome assembly. Lineage: Eukaryota; Metazoa; Arthropoda; Insecta; Diptera; Cecidomyiidae.
GGUUCUAUGGUGUAAUGGUUAGCACUUUGGACUUUGAAUCCAGCAAUCCGAGUUCGAUUCUCGGUAGGACCU